UAUCUUUAUGUAAAUUUAGUAU
Molecule: small nuclear RNA, 22 nt
Filed under: Arabidopsis thaliana (thale cress)
Lineage: Eukaryota; Viridiplantae; Streptophyta; Magnoliopsida; Brassicales; Brassicaceae
Description: snRNA_06846
Source: RNAcentral